This 245-nucleotide unclassified non-coding RNA is filed under the name uncultured Pleosporales. RNAcentral describes it as "sequence contains 5.8S rRNA gene". The stretch from base 1 to 53 matches the Rfam family "5.8S ribosomal RNA", at positions 102 to 154 of the family's 154-position model. The record is from RNAcentral. Lineage: Eukaryota; Fungi; Ascomycota; Dothideomycetes; Pleosporales.
GAACGCACAUUGCGCCCCUUGGUAUUCCAUGGGGCAUGCCUGUUCGAGCGUCAUCUACACCCUCAAGCUCUGCUUGGUGUUGGGCGUCUGUCCCGCCUUUGCGCGCGGACUCGCCCCAAAUUCAUUGGCAGCGGUUGCCUCCUCUCGCGCAGCACAAUUGCGUUUCUUGAGGAGUGCGGGCCGCGUCCACGAAGCAACAUUACCGUCUUUGACCUCGGAUCAGGUAGGGAUACCCGCUGAACUUA